GAUGAACGCUGGCGGCGUGCCUAAUACAUGCAAGUCGAGCGAACAGACGAGGAGCUUGCUCCUUUGACGUUAGCGGCGGACGGGUGAGUAACACGUAGGUAACCUACCUAUAAGACUGGGAUAACUUCGGGAAACCGGAGCUAAUACCGGAUAAUAUUUCGAACCGCAUGGUUCGAUAGUGAAAGAUGGCUUUGCUAUCACUUAUAGAUGGACCUGCGCCGUAUUAGCUAGUUGGUAAGGUAACGGCUUACCAAGGCAACGAUACGUAGCCGACCUGAGAGGGUGAUCGGCCACACUGGAACUGAGACACGUUCCAGACUCCUACGGGAGGCAGCAGUAGGGAAUCUUCCGCAAUGGGCGAAAGCCUGACGGAGCAACGCCGCGUGAGUGAUGAAGGUCUUCGGAUCGUAAAACUCUGUUAUUAGGGAAGAACAAACGUGUAAGUAACUGUGCACGUCUUGACGGUACCUAAUCAGAAAGCCACGGCUAACUACGUG
This 497-nucleotide ribosomal RNA is filed under the name uncultured bacterium. RNAcentral's name for it is "partial 16S ribosomal RNA". It matches the Rfam family "Bacterial small subunit ribosomal RNA", at positions 28 to 507 of the family's 1533-position model. The record is from RNAcentral.